CCUGCCCGCUGAGGAAGAAAUUUUUGAAGGGCCGCAGUAUUUUGACUGUGCGAAGGUAGCGUAAUCAUUAGUCUUUUAAUUGAAGGCUUGUAUGAAUGGUUGGAUGAGGUGAAUUCUGUUUUAUAUUUAUUUUAAAUUGAAUUUAGAUUUUAAGUAAAAAUACUUAAAUGAUAUUAAGGGACGAGAAGACCCUAUAGAGUUUAAUAAAUGUAGUAAUUGAUUAAGUUAAGAUUUAAUUUUUAGUUAUUAUGAAGUUUAUUUAAUUGGGGUGAUUUAAAGAUAAAAAUAACUCUUUAUUAGGUUAAAUAUUAUAUUAAGUUAUAUGAUCCAUGAAUAAUGAUUGAAAGAUUAAAUUACCUUAGGGAUAACAGCAUAAUUUCUUUUAAGAGUUCAUAUCGAAAAAGAGGAUUGUGACCUCGAUGUUGGAUUAAGAUUAGUCUUAGGGUGUAGAUGUUCAUAGACUGGGUCUGUUCGACCUUUAAAAUCUUACAUGAUCUG
RNAcentral lists this ribosomal RNA (498 nucleotides) under Creobroter apicalis. RNAcentral describes it as "partial 16S ribosomal RNA". It matches the Rfam family "Bacterial large subunit ribosomal RNA", at positions 1858 to 2607 of the family's 2925-position model. Lineage: Eukaryota; Metazoa; Arthropoda; Insecta; Mantodea; Hymenopodidae. The record is from RNAcentral.